GACGUAGGGCGCGAGCGUUGUCCGGAUUUAUUGGGCGUAAAGAGCUCGUAGGCGGCUUGUCGCGUCGUCCGUGAAAACUUGGGGCUCAACCCCAAGCUUGCGGUCGAUACGGGCAGGCUCGAGUUCGGUAGGGGAGACUGGAAUUCCUGGUGUAGCGGUGGAAUGCGCAGAUAUCAGGAGGAACACCGGUGGCGAAGGCGGGUCUCUGGGCAGUAACUGACGCUGAGGAGCGAAAGCGUGGGGAGCGAACAGG
RNAcentral lists this ribosomal RNA (253 nucleotides) under uncultured bacterium. RNAcentral describes it as "partial 16S ribosomal RNA". It matches the Rfam family "Bacterial small subunit ribosomal RNA", at positions 524 to 776 of the family's 1533-position model. The record is from RNAcentral.